UCGGAUUGUAGUCUGCAACCCGACUACAUGAAGCUGGAAUCGCUAGUAAUCGCGAAUCAGCAUGUCGCGGUGAAUACGUUCCCGGGUCUUGUACACACCGCCCGUCACACCAUGGGAGUUGGAAAUGCCCGAAGUCAGUGACCCAACCGAAAGGAGGGAGCUGCCGAAGGCAGGUUCGAUAACUGGGGUGAAGUCGUAACAAGGUAGC
This 208-nucleotide ribosomal RNA is filed under the name uncultured bacterium. RNAcentral describes it as "partial 16S ribosomal RNA". It matches the Rfam family "Bacterial small subunit ribosomal RNA", at positions 1293 to 1500 of the family's 1533-position model. The record is from RNAcentral.